Molecule: ribosomal RNA, 467 nt
Filed under: uncultured bacterium
Lineage: Bacteria
Description: bacterial SSU rRNA
Rfam family: Bacterial small subunit ribosomal RNA
Source: RNAcentral
AAUGAACGUUGGCGGCAUGGAUUAGGCAUGCAAGUCGAGCGAGAAGGCUUAGAUUGAAGCUUCGGCCGAUUUCUAAGCUGGACAGCGGCGAAAGGGAGAGUAACGCGUGGAUCACGUACCCUGGGUCCGGAAUAGCUGCGGGAAACUGCAGGUAAUGCCGGAUGACAUCCUCGGAUCAAAGGUGAGAUUCCGCCCUAGGAGCGGUCCGCGUCCUAUUAGCUUGUUGGUGGGGUAACGGCCUACCAAGGCUUCGAUGGGUACCGGGUGUGAGAGCAUGGCCCGGCUCACUGGGACUGAGACACUGCCCAGACACCUACGGGUGGCUGCAGUCGAGAAUCUUCGGCAAUGGACGCAAGUCUGACCGAGCAAUGCCGCGUGCGGGAUGAAGGCCUUCGGUUGUAAACCGCUGUCAGUGGGGAGGAAAUUCCAUAGGGCUAUCCCUAUGGAUUGACCUAUCUUCAGAGGAA